This 531-nucleotide ribosomal RNA is filed under the name uncultured bacterium. RNAcentral's name for it is "bacterial SSU rRNA". It matches the Rfam family "Bacterial small subunit ribosomal RNA", at positions 15 to 518 of the family's 1533-position model. The record is from RNAcentral.
GAUCUUGGUUCAGGACGAACGCUGGCGGCGUGCCUAAUACAUGCAAGUCGAACGGCUUUUCUAUGGAAGCUUGCUUCCACUGAGAAGAUAGUGGCGAACGGGUGAGUAACACGUGGGUAACCUGCCCAUAAGAGGGGGGAUAACAUCCGGAAACGGGUGCUAAUACCGCAUAGUUUUCUUGAUCGCAUGAUCGGGAAAGGAAAGACGGCCUUUGUGCUGUCGCUUACGGAUGGACCCGCGGCGUAUUAGUUAGUUGGUGAGGUAACGGCUCACCAAGACGAUGAUACGUAGCCGACCUGAGAGGGUGAUCGGCCACAUUGGGACUGAGACACGGCCCAAACUCCUACGGGAGGCAGCAGUAGGGAAUCUUCCGCAAUGGACGAAAGUCUGACGGAGCAACGCCGCGUGAGUGAAGAAAGGUUUUCGGAUCGUAAAACUCUGUUGUCAGAGAAGAACAAGUUGGAGAGUAACUGCUCCAGCCUUGACGGUAUCUGACCAGAAAGCCACGGCUAACUACGUGCCAGCCGCAGC